Molecule: transfer RNA, 88 nt
Filed under: Cutibacterium acnes KPA171202
Lineage: Bacteria; Bacillati; Actinomycetota; Actinomycetes; Propionibacteriales; Propionibacteriaceae
Description: tRNA-Leu
Rfam family: tRNA
About the family: Transfer RNA (tRNA) molecules are approximately 80 nucleotides in length. Their secondary structure includes four short double-helical elements and three loops (D, anti-codon, and T loops).
Source: RNAcentral
GCCGGAGUGGUGGAAUUGGUAGACACGCAGGAUUUAGGUUCCUGUGCCUUGUGGUGUGAGGGUUCGAGUCCCUUCUCCGGCACCGCAG